UUAUUAUAAAACGCGGUAUCAAAUAAGUAUCGGCUUUUGUACUACCUUUAAUCCACCUUUAAGUACGACCUUGAAAAAACGUUAUUACAAAACGCAGUUUAUCGCAAGUCCUAUUACUAUCUGUAGUACAAAAGAUAAACCAUCGAGCCCCCUAGUUUAACUGCAGUACUUAGUCGACAAACGUCAAAUUCCGACAUUAUUUACUUUUGAGGUUAUUUGUUUUGUGAUGAAAAAAAACGAAAGUGGAUAUGAAUAUGUGUGAUUUGGAAUACUUGGAUGUGUUAGAAUACUAUUGAGAGUGUCCGGGGACCCAACAGAAUGCGUCAUCGACAAAAUCUCUUCAAAUUACCUGACGACAAUUUUCGAUAUAAAUAUCGAUUUACGUUUUUCGAAAUAAUAGUCAAUUGAAUGCAUGAUGAUAAUCCAGGAUGAUCCUAUGAUGCUCAACUGGGCUCGCCAUAAAAUUCAAGACUAUUUUGGCGUUUUGCACGCCGUAUCUCUGCCAGUAAUAUGCAAUGUUUGUAAAAGACUGGAAGCUUGCUAAAAUGUACAAAAAUGCCUAGAUGAGAAAGGGAACAAGAUUGUGUGAUGAAGAACAGUGUCCAACAUGUAUCAGUGCAUUUGACUGUAUAAAUACUUAGACAUCGGAAUAAAAUAUAAUUUUCUACUUUUAUGUUGUUUCAAAUGUUUCAUUUUCUUUUGGUAAUUUAAUGCACACGAUAUUCUGUGUGUAAGUUAUUGUGCACUUAGGCCCAUAGCACACGGCGUUUUUUAAACGCGCUGACGACGCGCAGAGAACGCGCGUAUACACGAUUCAAACGAGAUUGGAUCGCAACCUUGUAACUUAAGCACACGGGGCGAUUAUAAAACCUGCCUCUUCUGCGCGUAUACGCGCAGGUACAGCGGUAAGACGCGCUGUAGUCGCUCGUACCUUUUGCGUUUUGAUCAGAGACUCCUCUUCUUCAGUUGUACAAUGGCGUCGGUUGAGACAACACUGCUUACUUUGGCUUUAGUACUUCUUUUAAAAAGUAAAAAACGUAAAAAAAAGCGAAUUUAUUGGAUAGAUCCAUUUACGAGUGAAAAAAGAUUGAGUGGUCAUUAUCAUACAACUUUUAAAAAAUUGGUAAUACAUAGAAGAUGGAAGAAAUUUUAUAAUUGUUAUCGAAUGUCAUAUUCGUCAUUCCAAGAACUUCUUUUGAUUCUAAAACCUGAGUUAACUCGUCAAAAUACAGCAAUGAGAUCAUGUAUAUCGGCAGAAGAACGUUUGCUCAUCACAUUGAGGUAUUUAGCUACGGGUUGCUAUUUCUCAGAUAUUCACUAUGACUUUAAGUGUGGACAAACGACGGCAGGCAUCAUAGUCCGUGAAACAGUGAAAAUAAUAUGGGAUAAAUUAAAAAACAUCUGUAUGCCAGAACCAACCGAGGAAUCACAUCUAAAACUGCUGAAGGAUUUAUGAAAUACGCAAAUUUUCCCAAUCUACUUGGGGCUAUCGAUGGGAAACAUAUCAGAGUUAUAAAACCUCAACAUAGUGGAUCAGAGUAUUUUAAUUAUAAAAAAUAUUUUUCCAUCGUAUUGCUUGCAAUAUGUGACGCAAAUUACAGAUUUAUCGAUAUAGAUGUCGGAUGCUAUGGAAAGGCUGCAGACUCAACAAUAAAUGAAUGUAGUGAAUGGACCAAAAAGAUAAGGCAAGGAAAUUAUAAUAUACCAAAUGCGAGACCAAUAUCUAAUAAUGGAGUGCCAAUACCAUUUACGUUUGUUGGAGAUGAAGGCUUUGCAUUAUCUCAACAUUUACAGAGACCUUACGCUGGAAAAAUCUUGCCACGAGAGAAAAGAAUAUAUAAUUACCGCUUGACACGUGCCAGACGAUACAUUGAAUGUACAUUUGGUAUAUUAAGCAACAAAUUUAAAAUCUUUAAUCGGCCACUGAACGUUAGCGUGGACUUCAGUGUGGCUAUUGUGAAAGCCUGUUGUGUACUGCAUAAUUUCAUACGUGAACGUGACGGUUAUAAUUUUCAUAAUUCUUUGAGUAUAGUUGGUUUAGAAGAUCCUCCUGAAGAUGCAAGUUUGAUUUCGAUUGGUGCAAGACGGUCACAGGGACAAUUAAGCGGAACUAUGAUACGAAAUAUGUACGCUGAUUAUUUUAUUAGUGAUGAAGGUGCAGUACCAUGGCAAGAUUCUAAAA
Helicoverpa armigera (cotton bollworm) is the source of this 2182-nucleotide long non-coding RNA. RefSeq lists it as uncharacterized. NCBI's taxonomy places the organism in Eukaryota, Metazoa, Arthropoda, Insecta, Lepidoptera, Noctuidae. The transcript is spliced from 3 exons. The record is from RefSeq and is a predicted model, not a curated record.